This 73-nucleotide transfer RNA is filed under the name Bos taurus (domestic cattle). It matches the Rfam family "tRNA". Rfam says of the family: Transfer RNA (tRNA) molecules are approximately 80 nucleotides in length. Their secondary structure includes four short double-helical elements and three loops (D, anti-codon, and T loops). Lineage: Eukaryota; Metazoa; Chordata; Mammalia; Artiodactyla; Bovidae. The record is from Rfam by way of RNAcentral.
UCCCUGGUGGUCCAGUGGUUGAGACUCUGCACUCCCAAUGCAGGGGGUCCAGGUUCAAUCCCUGGUUGGGGAA